This 75-nucleotide transfer RNA is filed under the name Xanthomonas axonopodis. Its description in RNAcentral is "tRNA-Val". It matches the Rfam family "tRNA". From Rfam's summary of the family: Transfer RNA (tRNA) molecules are approximately 80 nucleotides in length. Their secondary structure includes four short double-helical elements and three loops (D, anti-codon, and T loops). RNAcentral also lists the same sequence under 1 other name. The record is from RNAcentral. Lineage: Bacteria; Pseudomonadati; Pseudomonadota; Gammaproteobacteria; Lysobacterales; Lysobacteraceae.
GGGCGGUUAGCUCAGCGGUAGAGCACUACCUUGACAUGGUAGGGGUCACAGGUUCGAACCCUGUACUGCCCACCA